Molecule: ribosomal RNA, 484 nt
Filed under: uncultured bacterium
Lineage: Bacteria
Description: partial 16S ribosomal RNA
Rfam family: Bacterial small subunit ribosomal RNA
Source: RNAcentral
AUUGAACGCUGGCGGCAUGCUUUACACAUGCAAGUCGAACGGCAGCGCGGGCUUCGGCCUGGCGGCGCGUGGCGCACGGGUGAGUAAUACAUCGGAACGUGCCCAGUAGUGGGGGAUAGCUCGGCGAAAGCCGGAUUAAUACCGCAUACGACCUGAGGGUGAAAGCGGGGGAUCUUCGGACCUCGCGCUAUUGGAGCGGCCGAUGGCAGACUGGCUAGUUGGUGGGGUAAAGGCCUACCAAGGCGACGAUCUGUAGCUGGUCUGAGAGGACGACCAGCCACACUGGGACUGAGACACGGCCCAGACUCCUACGGGAGGCAGCAGUGGGGAAUUUUGGACAAUGGGCGAAAGCCUGAUCCAGCAAUGCCGCGUGUGUGAUGAAGGCCUUCGGGUUGUAAAGCACUUUUGGCGGGAACGAAAAGGACUGUGCCAAUACCACGGUUCGAUGACGGUACCCGCAGAAUAAGCACCGGCUAACUACGUG